Molecule: ribosomal RNA, 253 nt
Filed under: uncultured bacterium
Lineage: Bacteria
Description: partial 16S ribosomal RNA
Rfam family: Bacterial small subunit ribosomal RNA
Source: RNAcentral
GACGUAGGGGGCCAGCGUUGUUCGGAAUUACUGGGCGUAAAGCGCGUGUAGGCGGCCCUGCAAGUCGGAUGUGAAAUCCCACGGCUCAACCGUGGAAGUGCAUUCGAAACUGCAGGGCUAGAGUCCUGGAGAGGAAGGUGGAAUGCUUGGUGUAGAGGUGAAAUUCGUAGAUAUCAAGCGGAACACCGGUGGCGAAGGCGGCCUUCUGGACAGUGACUGACGCUGAGACGCGAAAGCGUGGGGAGCAAACAGG